Xanthomonas campestris pv. campestris is the source of this 75-nucleotide small RNA. It matches the Rfam family "Xanthomonas sRNA sX9". The record is from Rfam. Lineage: Bacteria; Pseudomonadati; Pseudomonadota; Gammaproteobacteria; Lysobacterales; Lysobacteraceae.
AUGUACCCAAGUACACUCCGGUUCCUCCGCGCCGUCCGCACCCACCUGACGACUGCUCGCUACGUUUUGUUAGCC